UACGUAGGUGGCAAGCGUUGUCCGGAUUUACUGGGCGUAAAGGGCGUGCAGGCGGUUUGUUAAGUGCAGGGUGAAAGCUCUCGGCUAAACCGGGAGAGGUCGUUGGAUACUGGCGAACUAGAGGAUGGUAGAGGCGUGUGGAAUUCCGGGUGUAGUGGUGAAAUGCGUAGAGAUCCGGAGGAACACCAGUGGCGAAGGCGACACGCUGGGCCAUACCUGACGCUAAAGCGCGACAGCAUGGGGAGCAAACGGG
This 253-nucleotide ribosomal RNA is filed under the name uncultured bacterium. Its description in RNAcentral is "partial 16S ribosomal RNA". It matches the Rfam family "Bacterial small subunit ribosomal RNA", at positions 524 to 776 of the family's 1533-position model. The record is from RNAcentral.